RNAcentral lists this non-coding RNA (176 nucleotides) under Streptomyces sp. CNQ-509. RNAcentral describes it as "Streptomyces sRNA scr5239". It matches the Rfam family "Streptomyces sRNA scr5239". From Rfam's summary of the family: It inhibits agarase DagA expression by direct base pairing to the dagA coding region, and it represses translation of methionine synthase metE (SCO0985) at the 5' end of its open reading frame. The record is from Rfam by way of RNAcentral. Lineage: Bacteria; Bacillati; Actinomycetota; Actinomycetes; Kitasatosporales; Streptomycetaceae.
CUUCCGCCCCUUCCGCACGACGGGGCGGAACGAGGCCCGAGGCGUUCUCUGCCCUGACUGCGUCCCGGCCUCCUCACCGGCUGCGACGCCGCGGGGCCGCACACUUCGCGGCGCGCGCACCGGUGCUUGGCUCCGGGCCGUGGUGCCGGACGGGUUGAGGGUCCCGGUCCAGGCAC